UACGUAGGUGGCAAGCGUUGUCCGGAUUUACUGGGCGUAAAGAGCGCGCAGGCGGCCGUUCAAGUCGCGUGUGAAAGCCCCCGGCUCAACUGGGGAGGGUCACGCGAUACUGAUCGACUCGAAGGCAAGAGAGGGUAGUGGAAUUCCCGGUGUAGUGGUGAAAUGCGUAGAUAUCGGGAGGAACACCAGUGGCGAAGGCGACUACCUGGCCUGUUCUUGACGCUGAGGCGCGAAAGCUAGGGGAGCAAACGGG
RNAcentral lists this ribosomal RNA (253 nucleotides) under uncultured bacterium. Its description in RNAcentral is "partial 16S ribosomal RNA". It matches the Rfam family "Bacterial small subunit ribosomal RNA", at positions 524 to 776 of the family's 1533-position model. The record is from RNAcentral.